RNAcentral lists this ribosomal RNA (402 nucleotides) under uncultured bacterium. RNAcentral describes it as "bacterial SSU rRNA". It matches the Rfam family "Bacterial small subunit ribosomal RNA", at positions 355 to 774 of the family's 1533-position model. The record is from RNAcentral.
UCGGGAAUUUUGGGCAAUGGGCGAAAGCCUGACCCAGCAACGCCGCGUGAGGGAUGAAGUAUUUCGGUAUGUAAAGCUCGAAAGAAUGGGAAGAAUAAAUGACGGUACCAUUUAUAAGCUCCGGCUAACUACGUGCCAGCAGCCGCGGUAAUACGUAGGGAGCAAGCGUUGUUCGGAUUUACUGGGCGUAAAGGGCGCGUAGGCGGCGCGGUAAGUCACUUGGGAAAUCUCUGAGCUUAACUCAGAACGGCCAAGUGAUACUGCUGUGCUAGAGUGCGGAAGAGGCAACCGGAAUUCUUGGUGUAGCGGUGAAAUGCGUAGAUAUCAAGAGGAACACCUGAGGCGAAGGCGGGUUGCUGGGCCGACACUGACGCUGAUGCGCGAAAGCCAGGGUAGCAAACG